GAUGAACGCUGGCGGCGUGCUUAACACAUGCAAGUCGAACGGAAAGGCCCAAGCUUGCUUGGGUACUCGAGUGGCGAACGGGUGAGUAACACGUGGGUGAUCUGCCCUGCACUUCGGGAUAAGCCUGGGAAACUGGGUCUAAUACCGGAUAGGACGAUGGUUUGGAUGCCAUUGUGGAAAGUUUUUUCGGUGUGGGAUGAGCUCGCGGCCUAUCAGCUUGUUGGUGGGGUAAUGGCCUACCAAGGCGUCGACGGGUAGCCGGCCUGAGAGGGUGUACGGCCACAUUGGGACUGAGAUACGGCCCAGACUCCUACGGGAGGCAGCAGUGGGGAAUAUUGCACAAUGGGCGCAAGCCUGAUGCAGCGACGCCGCGUGGGGGAGGACGGCCUUCGGGUUGUAAACUCCUUUCGCUAGGGACGAAGCGUUUUGUGACGGUACUUGGAGAAGAAGCACCGGCUAACUACGUG
RNAcentral lists this ribosomal RNA (467 nucleotides) under uncultured bacterium. RNAcentral's name for it is "partial 16S ribosomal RNA". It matches the Rfam family "Bacterial small subunit ribosomal RNA", at positions 28 to 507 of the family's 1533-position model. The record is from RNAcentral.